CUGCGAGUUCGCGGGAGAGUAAGUUAUUGCCAGGGUUUUUAUUUUAUACUUUAAACAUUGAUUUUAUUUUUUAUGUUUUUAGAUGUUCAUUUUUUUAAAUGUUUUAUUCAAAAAAUAUAAAAAAUAAAAUAUAUAUUGACAUGGAUUAAACAAAGAUAUAUAUUAUUCUAUGUUGUAUAAACAAAUUGGCAAAAUAGAGAUGGAAGAUAAAAAUAUGGUCAAAGUAAUAAGAGUCUAUGGUGAAUGCCUAGGA
Molecule: unclassified non-coding RNA, 253 nt
Filed under: Borreliella garinii
Lineage: Bacteria; Pseudomonadati; Spirochaetota; Spirochaetia; Spirochaetales; Borreliaceae
Description: partial 5S-23S ribosomal RNA intergenic spacer
Source: RNAcentral